This 682-nucleotide ribosomal RNA is filed under the name uncultured bacterium. Its description in RNAcentral is "bacterial SSU rRNA". It matches the Rfam family "Bacterial small subunit ribosomal RNA", at positions 44 to 715 of the family's 1533-position model. The record is from RNAcentral.
AUGCUUAACACAUGCAAGUCGAACGGAAACGAAGGAAGCUUGCUUCCAGGCGUCGAGUGGCGGACGGGUGAGUAAUGCUUGGGAAUCUGCCCAAUAGUGGGGGAAAACUCGGGGAAACUCGAGCUAAUACCGCAUAAGCUCUUCGGAGGAAAGAGGGCCUCUACAUGUAAGCUCUCGCUAAUGGAUGAGCCCAAGUCAGAUUAGCUUGUUGGUAAGGUAAUGGCUUACCAAGGCUACGAUCUGUAGCUGGUCUGAGAGGAUGAUCAGCCACACUGGGACUGAGACACGGCCCAGACUCCUACGGGAGGCAGCAGUGGGGAAUAUUGCACAAUGGGCGAAAGCCUGAUGCAGCAAUGCCGCGUGUGUGAAGAAGGCCUUAGGGUUGUAAAGCACUUUCAAUAGAGAAGAAAAGCUUGAGAACAAUACUUUCAAGUCUUGACGUAACCUAUAGAAGAAGCACCGGCUAAUUCCGUGCCAGCAGCCGCGGUAAUACGGAAGGUGCGAGCGUUAAUCGGAAUUACUGGGCGUAAAGCGCGCGUAGGCUGUUAAAUAAGUCGUAUGUGAAAUCCCCGGGCUUAACCUGGGAACUGCAUCCGAAACUAUUUAGCUAGAGUAUGGGAGAGGGAAGUAGAAUUUCCGGUGUAGCGGUGAAAUGCGUAGAUAUCGGAAGGAACACCAGUGG